This 29-nucleotide non-coding RNA is filed under the name Mus musculus (house mouse). Lineage: Eukaryota; Metazoa; Chordata; Mammalia; Rodentia; Muridae. The record is from RNAcentral.
UAACAAAAGUUACUGGUGGCUUGAAUGGG